UUACUGAUCACAAUUAUCGGGCUUAAGCAUCAUCAAAUGGAUCACAACAACAUCAACCCGUUUUUAUUAAAAUCAAAACUUACAAUUGAUUGCAGCCCACAUAAUAUUGGAAAAUAUUCUAACAUUGCGUGCAACUGUUUCUUCUGGUCAAUCUAAAGCAUUUUUUUUUUUGUAUUAGGCUAAAGCACUUUUUUAUAGAACCUUUUUUUUACCUAGAAGCCACUUUUGUAUUUAGUGUGCUAAAGCAAAUUUCUUCCUACUUGUAUCACUUUUCAUCCCAAUUGUAUCAUGCAAAGAUUCAUCUCUUAGAUGACAUAUAUUAAUCUUUUGUAUUAAUUGCUCAAUAGCUUUACUUUGUUGAAAGUGACUUUGUAAAAAAAUUAUCACAUCAACGAUUUUGUUGAAUGCUUAUAUUCGAUCACAACUCUAUAUUGAAGAU
RNAcentral lists this long non-coding RNA (439 nucleotides) under Trifolium pratense (red clover). RNAcentral describes it as "long non-coding RNA (TPRA_LNC004644)". Lineage: Eukaryota; Viridiplantae; Streptophyta; Magnoliopsida; Fabales; Fabaceae. The record is from RNAcentral.